This 1269-nucleotide long non-coding RNA is filed under the name Cairina moschata (Muscovy duck). RNAcentral's name for it is "domestica (muscovy Duck (domestic type)) lncRNA (ENSCMMG00000012910.1)". Lineage: Eukaryota; Metazoa; Chordata; Aves; Anseriformes; Anatidae. The record is from RNAcentral.
GCGGCAGCAGCACAGGCACAUACAGCUGCAGCCUCUAACGUCCAGGCUGGUUCUGUGGUUAAACCCAGCAGGCAGGUAGCUCCGUGGCUGCGGCACCCUAGGGGAUCCUCUCGCCAGGGACCUUGCUCCUCACACAGGUUUCUCAUCUCUAAAGCGGAGGACACAGAAGCCUGCCGUGCUGCAGAGCACCCUGCACCACCAGUAGCCAGCCCCAGGAGGCACAGAUAUGGCUGAGGCUGAGCCGCUGGUCAGAAUUCCUGCACCUAUUGCUCGUGCCAUUUUGCAGGAAUCGAGCUCUCCUCUCCCGCAGGUACUUCUGAAAGCAAAUGCUUCUGAAUCCGGAGGGAGCCGAGCCGUCCUGGUGGAGCAGCAGCAGACAAAACCCCAGGGGCGAAGGCACACGGACCUGAUUUCGGGACAACAUCGCGUGCGCCUGCCCGGGGCUCGGCUCGGCGGAGCUGGGAGUUUGGGCAACCAAAUCCCACCCAAGCAGAGACGUGUGCCAGUGGGCGCAGUCACAGCAGCACCUUGCAGCACCCAGCGAUGUCAUGCAGGCUUCCACGCUGCUGUAAACAAGGCUGGCGCCGAGCUGUCAAGCCAGCACACUUCCUCCUGCCUGCAGGGCUGCACUCCGCUGGGGUUCUGCCCGACAAGGUAAGGCUGAUUUUAAGCUCUCUUUUUCCGAUCUAGAACAGGCGUUAAUGAGCCUUUGCUGCCUCCUGCGAACGUGUUGCCCUUCUUGGGCUUUUCCUUAGGGCUUAGGAGCCAGGAGGAGAUCCGUGGAGCUUUGUAUCUUGAAACAGCAGAUCUCCUCGCGUGCCAAUCCUCUGUGUGAACACAUGGAGGAGUGAAAACAGCGGCUGCAUGAAGUUGCUGUCACUAGAUGAAGCAAAAUUUUAUAGCGUGGGCAAUUACUGGUUCUCUGACUGUUCUCCAGUGUCACUGUAGGCAUGGAUUCCUUCUUUUUCAUGAUUCCUCAGAGGAUAUCUAUAUCCUCUAUCUAUAUCCUCUAUCUAUAUCCUCUAUCCUAUCUAUCUCUAAGUACAUUAAAGGAGGCUGUAGCGAGGUGGGGGUUGGUCUAUUCUCCCAUGUGCCUGGUGACAGGACGAGGGGGAACGAGCUAAAGUUGCACCAGGGAUGUUUUAGGUUGGAUAUUAGGAAGAACUUCUUUACCGAGAGGGUUGUUAGGCAUUGGAAUGGGCUGCCCAGGGAAGUGGUGGAGUCACCAUCCCUGGAGGUCUUUAAAAGACGUUUAGAUGUAGAGCUUAG